Molecule: long non-coding RNA, 5192 nt
Filed under: Ceratitis capitata (Mediterranean fruit fly)
Lineage: Eukaryota; Metazoa; Arthropoda; Insecta; Diptera; Tephritidae
Description: uncharacterized LOC105665499
Source: RNAcentral
AAAAACAAAUAUAAAAAUAUUUACAUCAAUUUUUAAAAACACAACAAUACAGCGUUAUAAGCAAUUGGUGAAAUAAAUUAGAACUUUUAUGUAACAAAAUCAAAGUGCUUUUUGUAUAAAAAAAUAAAAUAUUAAUGGUUAAAAAAUUUUUAUUUUUUAAAGUGAUUUUUUAUUGUGUAUGAUAAAUAUUUGUGGCAUUAAAAGAUAGAUAGUUAAAAUAGUCUAACAUAACCAACCAGUCGAGCAGUUUACACUAUAUACAUAUGUACGUUCAUAUAGGUAUGUAAAUAAAUGAAUAGUCGACUUGUCUCGUCUACAACGUGGAAUCGCAAGAAAUCGUGAAACUUUGCAACAUUUUUCGUUUGCAUUUUUCACAUUAAAAACAACAAAGUGAUAUGAUUUUUUACUUGUGCACAUACAUAAAUAUGUGUGUACGUACAUGCGACUCUCAACCGGAUUUCUGGCUAAGAAAAAAGUAAUAUUAAUGCAAAUAAAAUAAAUAAACGCACCGAAGCAAUUGUGCCACAAUUUAUCACGGUUCAACGGACAAUAUAUAAAACAGCAUCGCUAUCUAAUACAUUGAAGUAUACAAAUUGAAUAAAUCUAGUGCAUAAAUUCAAUACAACCAUACAUAUAUGUUUAAGCACAGCACGUUAGACGCCACGAGAAAGAAACGACACUCGACAAAACUCAGCAGACGCUGCCAACACAGCAGUACUGCCACAUAAGCGUUGCCGGUCUGCAUGCUGGCCGAACAUGUGGUUGCGUUGAGGCGAAGGAAGCGGCGCAAAUAAUCCUGUAACAACAAGCAAGUGAACGCGCGAAGGACACCGCACAGCAAGAAAGUCAGCCAAGUAACGCAGACAAGAGACGUCGUCGCACGCGUGACACUAAAAACACUACACUAAUACAAACAAACCUAAAUACAUAAGUGCACAGUUUACUGGCAACUAAGGUGCGGAAGUUAGAAACGCGCGCGAGGCGUAAAUACGCUACAACUACAUCCGUUACCGACGGUCCUGUUGCGUCGCACACGCGGAGUGUCGUUAAAAAGUAAUAAAAAAAAACUAAAAUAAAAAAACUAAAACAACAACAAGCCAUUGUGCUGUAACAGCUAAGGGAAAGCGAAAAAACCGCCAAACGCAGUAAAAAAAGUGUUGCAAACUCACAGCAAGUGUCAUCAUCAUCUUGGCCAACACCAGGUCGCAGUAGAGAUCGUAUUAAAAAUUUCGCCUUCAAAUAUACGUACGCACAUACCGACAUUCAGAGUUGGUCCGGAAACCGCGAAAACUAAACUAAUUUUCAGCUUACGCAAACGCUACCCCACAGAGACGCGCUUCAACACAUUUUUCUUACUCAAUGUUUCCGGCUGCCGCUGAGACUGCGAAAAACCGCAAAAUACCGUGAAUUUCAAAAUCAACCAGCGCAAGCUAAGCUUAAUUUAGUUGGUGCAAACGUGGAGUUAAGAGUUCGAAGUUUGAGCUGGAGCACCGCCCACGUCAAAUAGGUGAAGGUGGCAAACCGCACAACUGGAUACUACUUGCUCUGCUACUUGACGUUGAACUGUAUAACAAAAUGUGCUUAAAGAAACUUAUAUUAAUAACAAUAACAACAAAAGCAAAUAUUUAAGUAGAAAACUCGACUGGAUACAUAUAUGUAUGUAUGUAUGUACUUAUAUUAUAACGUCAACGACACUUGAAGUGUAUAGCAAUAGCGGUGUGAUGGUGGUAGCAGCGUGACUAGAAGGACUCGUUAUACGAGUUUGCUACUCAUCUGCACACUUACCUAUAUAUAUGUACAAAUGCACAUACAAAGCUGCUUAUAAAAAUUUAAUUUGGUUAGAAUUUAGAAGUGCACACGCAUAGAAAACUCUUCUAAGUUAUUACUUUGAGUGCAACAAGACUUAAGUUUCUCCUUAUCAACAUUUGAGCUUGCAUCCCCUCGAAUCACCUUACCUAUAUGAACAUUUACGCUCGUACGUUCGUGGUCAUAAUGUCACAAUAACUGUCACCACUGUUUGCUUUGGUUAAAUACGAACGAACGACCUAAAGCAAAUAGCAAAGAGCUAGCGUGUGGUAGAGACCAUCAUAAACGCCUUCAUUUAAGGACGUAAUGUAACGUAAGAAAGGCAAACCCAACGACUCAAGUGCUGUGACUCCAAAACAAACAAAAAAUAACCGACAAACACAGCUAACUCAAGUCAACUGCGCCCGAGCUAAGUGAGACUGCUACAACAGCAAAAAAAAAAAAAUAAAAUAAAAAAUAAAAUAAAAAAAAAAUAAAAAAAGAAAAGUCAUCGUCAGUGGGUGCUAUUGCACUAAGUGUUCUCCUUUUUUUCAAUUAAACGGAAAUUGUGUUGAAUUAGUGUGAGCCAUAAAAAAGGCAGAAAAGAAAGUGGAAGUGGAAAUAGUUGUAUGAAAUAUAUACACAAGUGCUUACGAGUAAAAUAAAAUAGUUCACUUUAGUAUUAAUUCUAUGUGCCACCCUCUCAUGCGUUUAAAUAAUCCUACAUAUAUACAUACAUACUUGUACAUAUGUAUGUACAUACCAACAUCUAUGUGUUCGAUAUCCAACUGUGCGUAAAUAUUAGUUAUAUUAUAUAAAGAAUCUUAUACAUAAAUGCAUAUAAUAUGUAUAUACGUGUAUGCAUGUAUAAUUAAGAGUGAAUUCUCUAACGAAUAAUACCAUUAAACCAUAAAUAUGCACAUACAUAUUUACAAAAACGGAAAUAUAUAUUAAGAGUCAGCGUUUAAAUAUUACUAAAGUGUCUGUGCAUUAACGUAAGUAAGUGUGUGUGUGUGUGUGUGUGAUACUUGAGCGUUAUUACCACCAAGUCGGUCAAACUCAUUGUAGAGUUUUGAAGUGCUGAAUUAUAGCUACUUACAUAAAUACAUACGUACAUACAUACGUGUGAAGAAAUAUAUUUUUUCGCACGAUACCACUGCGUCAGCAGGCAACUGCCUGGCACUAAGUCAGGUAGCCCAGCGGAUAAGUUUCAUAAUGAAAAUCUAAUUUAUACGCACCGGAUUCGAGGAAAAUCCAUUUCUCCAGCAUCAACCGAUACGAUUUGCUUAUUUGCAUCUUCUUCUUGUUUGUCGUUAUUUUUUUCCGCGCUGGAAGAGCGAACGCCGCCAGCGUUCGGCGUGGAUUGUGGAUUUGCAGACACCAACAUUAAUUUAUGCAUAAUUUCAUUUGUAUUUCUUCGCUAAUUACCACGACAAGUGAGUCUAUGGUAUUCGGAGAGAUAGGCAGAUAGUCAAUCGUGCAACAGAAUACAGUAAAUAGUCAUUAAAUAAAGGAAGAGCGAAAGCAAAGGACAACAGCCCGGCAUAAUAAAGAUACUCAACAUUUCUUUUGCGUUUUACUGCUAUCUUUAGACGAAAUUUCGGUGAGUAAAUUAACUUUUAUACUUAUUUAUAUGUAAUAUAAUAUAAAGAGCAGAAACAAUACAUAUGAAUAAACUGUCUGACUAAAAAACCAAUCACUAUAAGAAUUUUUUCCAAAAUAGUACUGAUUUUGAGUGAGCAGGAUAUUCUGAACACCAGGGUUUGGGUCAUGGUAUGGGUCCCGGGUCACAGUAACUUACCGGGUAAUGAGAUGGUGGGCGAGGUUGCGAGAAAGUACACUUCCCUUUCUCUUUCACCGUCAUGGAAGUGUUUGGGCAUGCCGCUCUGCACUUGUAAGCUCCAUAUAAGAGAGUUAUUCCCAAGAAAUGCCAACUGAAGACGGAGAAGUCUCAAAACAUAUAAUGCGGCCAGCACAAUAUAGCCAGAAUAGAACAGUAGAAAGUGACGUGACUUUAUUGAGCUGAAAAUGAAGGAUAUGUCUACAGUUAAAAGUCUUCUUACAGGACAUAUCUUAUUCGGCUUGCACGCAGAGAUGAUUUAAACAGCAGUACAGCAAUAGGGACGGCAACCUUAGGAGACCUGAGCGAGAUAGCGGGGGAUACGAUGUGGACUUUGUUCAGUUUUACAAACUCCACGAAUUGGUUUAAUAGGCAGGUGGAGAUAUUUGAGAUUCUCAGUGGUAUCACAAUGAACCCGUCUGAGGGCUAGGUGUGCCAAUGCCCGGCAGCCACUUUAACCAGCCAAUUGCGGUCGCAUCUCGGCAAAGGGUGUCAAGCCCUCUGAGUGUAUUUAUAGCAUGAAAUACCUCAUAAAAAUCCAUCGUAGGUGGCUUGAUACAAACUUUUGGUCCCUAGAGCACCAAAAAAAACUGCAGGAAUGUCUGAUUCUGCUUAGGAGAAUUUAAAUUAAAAAGAAUAAAGUGUCACAAAAAGGUGCAGUUUAAGAUUAACUAAGCAAAAGCCGUUUCCAGAUCUCCAUAGUGGCUGCUCGGACUCCCACUCAUCAUCAAUAAGAAGAGCAUACUACAAAGUGGUGACUAUCAGUUGCAAUCAGAAGAGACAAUACAACGGCGUCCCUACACACAUUCCACUUUUCUAAUCACCUUUAUUUAGAGACUCCAUCUGGAGAGGUAUUUAUUUUUCCCAACUCCAUUACAAUUUUAGUUCAUUGGGUUCUUUAGACCUCAAGUGGUGCGUGCCAUAGUUGAUGACACUUCCUUACGACCAGCAAUACACGUAGUUUGUGCAUUCGUCGCUACAACAAAAAAGUCAGGCACUUCAAUAUUUAUUGCAUCCAACACACACAAACUCACCCGACAAGCACACUUAUGCACUUUCAAGCUGGCAAUCUGUUGCUGGCUGCUUGUCUGGCAGCAAAUAGGCAAAUGUGCCAACUAUGUUCCAACUAUGGCGAAUAUUUCUUUGCCUACUUACUUUGCAGGAAGUGGCGGCGUAUCGGCGUAUAUAUAGUGUACACAUAGCCAUAGCUGCCGGUAGUAAAAGUCAAGCCAAGAAGCAGUGAGAGCAGAGCACUUUAUUUUCGCUUCUCUGCUACCGUUCGGUGAUGGUGUGCAGUGUGUUGGUUGAGUCGCUUUCGCCUUUGUAAUCGUUCCGUUUGUUGUUAUUGGUUGCUGGUCUAGUGUUAAUGUCGAGCAGCUGGAAAUUUUUUCAUUUGCAGUGUGAACCGUAGUAUUGUUGCGGCGAAUAUUUGUAUAGCUGCAAAUGUAUGUACUUACUUACAUAUGUGUAUAAAGGUUAGCAAAUUCGUGUUUUUUAAAUUUAGUAUUAAAGUGCCCACCUCGCAGAAGGAUCAGUGAUGGGAAAAAAACUUGUUUUUUUUAUAGAA